This is a long non-coding RNA of Panicum virgatum (switchgrass), 531 nucleotides long. RefSeq lists it as uncharacterized. NCBI's taxonomy places the organism in Eukaryota, Viridiplantae, Streptophyta, Magnoliopsida, Poales, Poaceae. The transcript is spliced from 2 exons. The record is from RefSeq and is a predicted model, not a curated record.
UGCCCAGCAUGCGGCGGCCCUCUCACCAGCCAGACGCACAGAUCUCCUAUCCAGUCAGCAGAAGGGGAGAACCAGUGCGGCACCUGCGGUGGCGUUUCCCAGUCGUCUGAUGUCUGAACGCAUGGGAAUAAGUGAAGCGUCCUCCAGUAUGUCGUCUUGGCUCUAUGGCAGCAGUAGAGUAGUAUCAUCAGUUAUAGAACCUGUAGUAGUGUUGCAUCUUAGUAGUAUCAUUGGUACUUGAUCGGUGGAAUCGCCAGAAGGGCGGACGUGGUGGUUGUUCUAGCAGUAGCAGUAGUAGUACCCGUAUGAUGAUACCUGCAGUAUGUUCUUCGUUCGUGUGCCUCCUCGGUCGCGUGUUUCUGCUGGGCGUCCACCGUGUCUUGAUCGAUCACUUGCCUGGGUGAAGUGACUCGAACAAGAGGGCCAAUGUGGUGGCCGGGGAGAACACUGCCUUUUCUUUUUUUUUUGUUACUCUUGUCUAUACAGUUGAACUAUCUGAUGAAUGGUGAUGGAAUCUCAAAUGUUUUGGUA